AUGUUAGCAAAGCAGUGUUGGCGACUGAUCCAUAAUCCUGACUCUUUGUGUGCACAGGUGUUAGGUGCAAAAUACUAUCCGGAUGGCAAUAUCCUGCAUGCUGGACCGAAGAAAGGCUCCUCGUUCACAUGGCAAAGUAUCUUUGGCGGGAUACAAACGUUCAAGCGGGGGUGUAUUUGGAGGGUGGGUACGGGCUCACAGAUCAAUAUCUUGGAGGACCCAUGGAUUCCAUCAAGCCCGACCAGGAAAGUAAUUACCCCUCGAGGGGGAGUUAUGUUGUCAAAAGCGCAAGAUAUAAUUGACCCACAUACGGGUCAGUGGGAUGAGGCACUUAUUCAGAGUGUGUUCUCACCAGUUGAUGUAAGUAGAAUAUUACAAAUCCCACUCCAAGUUGAAUUUACAGAAGAUCUUGUGGCAUGGCAAUUCACCAAGUCUGGAACAUUUCCAGUACGCUCGGCUUAUUAUGUGGAGUUUGAUCACCAGUUCGGUCGGCAUUACAGAGAAGUUAAUAGUCCUGGAACUGCUCAGCUAUACGGGGUCUAG
This 543-nucleotide ribosomal RNA is filed under the name Triticum aestivum (bread wheat). Its description in RNAcentral is "partial small subunit ribosomal RNA". The record is from RNAcentral. Lineage: Eukaryota; Viridiplantae; Streptophyta; Magnoliopsida; Poales; Poaceae.